CUACCAUCAUGUUUGUGUCCACAUGUGUUAUUGAAAUUGCAGAUUUUUUUUGGAGACGGGGCCAUUCGUGUCGCUUUGACACAUCUAGUUUUAUAUAUAUAUAUAUAUAUCGUUAAGGUAAAUUUAGAGUGAUGGAGAGGUUAAAGAUACCAAAGCGAUAUUCAAAGAGACUGACAAUGCCAUGACAAAUAACUAAAACGGACGAGAAGACAAACAAUAGUACAGAAAACUAA
Molecule: long non-coding RNA, 233 nt
Filed under: Mytilus galloprovincialis (Mediterranean mussel)
Lineage: Eukaryota; Metazoa; Mollusca; Bivalvia; Mytilida; Mytilidae
Source: RNAcentral